CCUACGGGAGGCAGCAGUGAGGAAUAUUGGUCAAUGGACGAGAGUCUGAACCAGCCAAGUAGCGUGAAGGAUGACUGCACUAUGGGUUGUAAACUUCUUUUAUAUGGGAAUAAAAUGUUCCACGUGUGGGAUUUUGUAUGUACCAUAUGAAUAAGGAUCGGCUAACUCCGUGCCAGCAGCCGCGGUAAUACGGAGGAUCCGAGCGUUAUCCGGAUUUAUUGGGUUUAAAGGGAGCGUAGGUGGAUUGUUAAGUCAGUUGUGAAAGUUUGCGGCUCAACCGUAAAAUUGCAGUUGAAACUGGCAGUCUUGAGUACAGUAGAGGUGGGCGGAAGUCGUGGUGUAGCGGUGAAAUGCUUAGAUAUCACGAAGAACUCCGAUUGCGAAGGCAGUUCACUGGACUGCAACUGACACUGAGGCUCGAAAGUGUGGGUAUCAAACAGGAUUAGAUACCCCUGUAGUC
This 460-nucleotide ribosomal RNA is filed under the name uncultured bacterium. RNAcentral describes it as "partial 16S ribosomal RNA". It matches the Rfam family "Bacterial small subunit ribosomal RNA", at positions 338 to 795 of the family's 1533-position model. The record is from RNAcentral.